RNAcentral lists this ribosomal RNA (253 nucleotides) under uncultured bacterium. Its description in RNAcentral is "partial 16S ribosomal RNA". It matches the Rfam family "Bacterial small subunit ribosomal RNA", at positions 524 to 776 of the family's 1533-position model. The record is from RNAcentral.
UACGGAGGGUGCGAGCGUUGUUCGGAAUCACUGGGCGUAAAGGGCGUGUAGGCGGUCCGCUAAGUCUGAUGUGAAAGCCCGGGGCUCACCCCCGGAAGGGCAUUGGAAACUGGCGGACUCGAGUCCCGGAGAGGAAGGUGGAAUUCCUGGUGUAGCGGUGAAAUGCGUAGAUAUCAGGAGGAAUACCGGUGGCGAAGGCGGCCUGCUGGACGGUGACUGACGCUGAGACGCGAAAGCGUGGGGAGCAAACAGG